This 67-nucleotide transfer RNA is filed under the name Epeorus dayongensis. Its description in RNAcentral is "tRNA-Tyr". It matches the Rfam family "tRNA". From Rfam's summary of the family: Transfer RNA (tRNA) molecules are approximately 80 nucleotides in length. Their secondary structure includes four short double-helical elements and three loops (D, anti-codon, and T loops). The record is from RNAcentral. Lineage: Eukaryota; Metazoa; Arthropoda; Insecta; Ephemeroptera; Heptageniidae.
GGUAAAAUGGCUGAGUAAAGGUGAUAGACUGUAAAUCUAUUUAGGAGGGUCAACCCCUCUUUUACCA